RNAcentral lists this ribosomal RNA (1463 nucleotides) under uncultured Klebsiella sp. Its description in RNAcentral is "bacterial SSU rRNA". It matches the Rfam family "Bacterial small subunit ribosomal RNA". The record is from RNAcentral. Lineage: Bacteria; Pseudomonadati; Pseudomonadota; Gammaproteobacteria; Enterobacterales; Enterobacteriaceae.
AUUGAACGCUGGCGGCAGGCCUAACACAUGCAAGUCGAACGGUAGCACAGAGAGCUUGCUCUCGGGUGACGAGUGGCGGACGGGUGAGUAAUGUCUGGGAAACUGCCUGAUGGAGGGGGAUAACUACUGGAAACGGUAGCUAAUACCGCAUAACGUCGCAAGACCAAAGAGGGGGACCUUCGGGCCUCUUGCCAUCAGAUGUGCCCAGAUGGGAUUAGCUAGUAGGUGGGGUAACGGCUCACCUAGGCGACGAUCCCUAGCUGGUCUGAGAGGAUGACCAGCCACACUGGAACUGAGACACGGUCCAGACUCCUACGGGAGGCAGCAGUGGGGAAUAUUGCACAAUGGGCGCAAGCCUGAUGCAGCCAUGCCGCGUGUGUGAAGAAGGCCUUCGGGUUGUAAAGCACUUUCAGCGGGGAGGAAGGCGUUAAGGUUAAUAACCUUGGCGAUUGACGUUACCCGCAGAAGAAGCACCGGCUAACUCCGUGCCAGCAGCCGCGGUAAUACGGAGGGUGCAAGCGUUAAUCGGAAUUACUGGGCGUAAAGCGCACGCAGGCGGUCUGUCAAGUCGGAUGUGAAAUCCCCGGGCUCAACCUGGGAACUGCAUUCGAAACUGGCAGGCUAGAGUCUUGUAGAGGGGGGUAGAAUUCCAGGUGUAGCGGUGAAAUGCGUAGAGAUCUGGAGGAAUACCGGUGGCGAAGGCGGCCCCCUGGACAAAGACUGACGCUCAGGUGCGAAAGCGUGGGGAGCAAACAGGAUUAGAUACCCUGGUAGUCCACGCCGUAAACGAUGUCGAUUUGGAGGUUGUGCCCUUGAGGCGUGGCUUCCGGAGCUAACGCGUUAAAUCGACCGCCUGGGGAGUACGGCCGCAAGGUUAAAACUCAAAUGAAUUGACGGGGGCCCGCACAAGCGGUGGAGCAUGUGGUUUAAUUCGAUGCAACGCGAAGAACCUUACCUGGUCUUGACAUCCACAGAACUUUCCAGAGAUGGAUUGGUGCCUUCGGGAACUGUGAGACAGGUGCUGCAUGGCUGUCGUCAGCUCGUGUUGUGAAAUGUUGGGUUAAGUCCCGCAACGAGCGCAACCCUUAUCCUUUGUUGCCAGCGGUUCGGCCGGGAACUCAAAGGAGACUGCCAGUGAUAAACUGGAGGAAGGUGGGGAUGACGUCAAGUCAUCAUGGCCCUUACGACCAGGGCUACACACGUGCUACAAUGGCAUAUACAAAGAGAAGCGACCUCGCGAGAGCAAGCGGACCUCAUAAAGUAUGUCGUAGUCCGGAUUGGAGUCUGCAACUCGACUCCAUGAAGUCGGAAUCGCUAGUAAUCGUAGAUCAGAAUGCUACGGUGAAUACGUUCCCGGGCCUUGUACACACCGCCCGUCACACCAUGGGAGUGGGUUGCAAAAGAAGUAGGUAGCUUAACCUUCGGGAGGGCGCUUACCACUUUGUGAUUCAUGACUGGGGUGA